This 497-nucleotide ribosomal RNA is filed under the name uncultured bacterium. RNAcentral's name for it is "partial 16S ribosomal RNA". It matches the Rfam family "Bacterial small subunit ribosomal RNA", at positions 28 to 507 of the family's 1533-position model. The record is from RNAcentral.
GACGAACGCUGGCGGCGUGCCUAAUACAUACAAGUUGAGCGAUGAAGAUUGGUGCUUGCACCAAUUUGAAGAGCAGCGAACGGGUGAGUAACGCGUGGGGAAUCUGCCUUUGAGCGGGGGACAACAUUUGGAAACGAAUGCUAAUACCGCAUAACAACUUUAAACAUAAGUUUUAAGUUUGAAAGAUGCAAUUGCAUCACUCAAAGAUGAUCCCGCGUUGUAUUAGCUAGUUGGUGAGGUAAAGGCUCACCAAGGCGAUGAUACAUAGCCGACCUGAGAGGGUGAUCGGCCACAUUGGGACUGAGACACGGCCCAAACUCCUACGGGAGGCAGCAGUAGGGAAUCUUCGGCAAUGGACGAAAGUCUGGCCGAGCAACGCCGCGUGAGUGAAGAAGGUUUUCGGAUCGUAAAACUCUGUUGGUAGAGAAGAACGUUGGUGAGAGUGGAAAGCUCAUCAAGUGACGGUAACUACCCAGAAAGGGACGGCUAACUACGUG